Molecule: ribosomal RNA, 200 nt
Filed under: uncultured bacterium
Lineage: Bacteria
Description: partial 16S ribosomal RNA
Rfam family: Bacterial small subunit ribosomal RNA
Source: RNAcentral
GAAGGCUGAAAUUCGCCUUCAUGAAGCUGGAAUUGCUAGUAAUGGCAGGUCAGCAUACUGCCGUGAAUACGUUCCCGGGCCUUGUACACACCGCCCGUCACACCAUGAGAGUUGGGAAUACCCGAAGCCUGUGAGCUAACUUAUAGGGGCAGCAGUCGAAGGUAGAAUCAAUGAUUGGGGUGAAGUCGUAACAAGGUAGC